GCUGAAGAAAGAAAGAAAGAAAAACGAUCACUGGCCAUGAAAGAGAAGACAUCAGUGUUUCCAGGAAGUGGAACUUCCUAGCUCUUAUUUACCAACUCUCAAUACUUCCAGUAAUUUUCUGCCAAAAAGUAAGCGGCCUGACUUCCUCUUUGCACUAGUGAAGCUCACCAGGAACAGAAGUUAAACACAAAUUUUUCACACAUAUCCUAAUGGCUAUGCCCCCCUCAUAGUCCCUGGAGCAGAAACAAGAAAGGAGCAAUAAAGCUUGAGGGAGAAUGGUUCCCCAUUUCUUUUGAAAAGGCACUGGAGUCAGAGGUCUUCUCUGUUAUUUUACAUGCAUAAUUACCUCAAACUAGGAGCUAGUUACACUGAAGCAAAAGUUAACAGAAAUUACAGCAUUCCCCCCCUUCCCAUGAUCCAUAUUCUCUUCCCCUUCUCAUCCAUCACCCCCUUUUCUCUCUCAAAAGAGUAAGUGUUGAAAUUCUCCUCUGAAAGUUUUUAAACAGGUGCCAUUCGUGACACCACUUGCUCUCUCCUGAAUUCUUAUAUCUGACUGCAUAUGUAUGAAAAUGUGUGGGUUUAGGAAAUGUUAUUUGAGGGAUUGGAAGUCAGUGUACUUACCCACUUUGAGGCACUACUUAGUCCACUCAAGGUGAAGAUGGGUAGACAGAAUCCCAAAGGACUGAUAAACCAUUUGACAAUGAACGUAAUCAAGGAAAUAAUGACAGUUGUAGAUAGUAAGGGAGUGCAACUCUGUCAUUUUCAGACUAAUAGUUAAGAAGGCCUGAGUUGCCUUAUUUUCACCGGGUUAAUUUCAUGUUACUCUUAGAGAAGCUGCUAAUUUAUUAGGUUAGAUAGAUAGAAUCAGAAUUGUGCCCUAAGUAGAGAAACAGGGUUUGGUGAUGAGAAAAGGAGAAGCAUCAGAUAUUUAAAAGUUUCUGUGGAUAUCUAAUUACAUGAAAAUUGUAUCACUAUAGUUAGACCAUGAAAAAAAAUACAGCCUUAUUGUCUGUAACCUCAUAAAAAAGUUUGAUUACAUUUAAAUUACUGAAAGUCUGCACAGACCAAACCACUUAAGAAUGCUGAUAAGUGUAUUUAUAAAAUGUUCCUUUAUAAGCAAAGAGACGGAUUUGAAAUGUACUUCUGCAAUCAAAGCCAAAAUUCAAGUCAUCUCAAAGGUGCACCUCGGAAUGUAAAAGAGCUGGAUUUGCCAGCCUUCCAUUGUUAGGAUCCAGAAAUGUCUAUCUCCCCCAGAACAACUCUGUACAUAUUUACACAAGUUCAGUUGUAAAUAUCAUAGCUUAGAACCAAAGAGAAAUUUUCCAGUAAGAACUACUCAGAGAAGGUAACUCUGGGGGGGCUUGGAGUCAACCAAGGGGACUUGUGAGUUGUUCCCAUUCCCACUAACGUUGACAAGCUUCAGCAGAACACUUACAAAAGCUUGUGGCAUGCAGAUGCAGCAUGCAGUUUUACAAUAGCUAAAAAUGAACCAGAAAGUGAGGGUAAGAGGUCCCCCUACUAGAAUCCAGAAAGGUCACAAGUGUGAAGCUUUUCUCCCUAGUAUAUCAUAGCUGCUAAAUAAAUCUAGAAAGAACUUCAGAAGUUCUAACAUGUUGGAUUUGCACUUGAUAAUUUCAUUUAUAGAAAAAAUAAUUAAAAUUAAAUAUACCUGCAGCAGCAGUUCUUGUAGUUGGGCUCGCUUCUGUUUUAUCCUUUCAAUCCGCUUCUGUUUUUCUAUCUUAAAAUACAAAUGUAAAUGCAUCAAGAUAAUUACUUUGUUACCUUGUCUGUUCCACUGUGCCAAACUGAACAGGCUUUAGAGCUAUACCAGUGUGCUAGCACCGUUACAAAAAUCCGUACUUUCUUUGUAAAUGGUGGAGAAUUCCAUGGCAUGGUAAGUAAAUUUUGCACAAGUCUUUUCAGCCCUACCCGUUUGCCAUGUAUUUUCUUCUUUUUCAGACUUAUCACAUGGUCACAGGAGUUUCUCCAUAAAACAGGUCUGACAAACUGUAAUUUCUUUCUUUGUCAACAAUUUUAACUUCCGUAAAGAAUCCAUUAUUACAAGAGACCAUAUUAUUUCCCCACCCAUUCCUCCUCUUCUGUACUGUGCAUUGAGCGCCGAUGAGCACCAAACUAAACGUUUGCUUGAGAGGGUGCUUUGGGUUUGGGGGUUAUUUCCCUCCUGCCUUCCGCUUUUUUGGAAUUGUGCAUGUCCCUUCCAUUGUUCUAGCUGCAAGCUACUAGACAUAAAUGUGUGGAGACUGGGCUCAGGAUCAUCACCUGCAUCUUUCCAGUGAUCUCCACUUUUUGUUUGGACCACUCACUUGAGACUUGAUUAAACUAACAAGAUUUCAGCAACAAAAAGGGGGUAGAGGUAACCUUUUCUACAUGAGCGCAGAAUCCAUUUCUUGCAACAGUUUUUUUAGUGCCAGGUUAUGGGGCAAAGCUAUCCUCAACCUAAGUAUGCAGUGUUUGGGACAGCGAUAGUACUGGAUGCCUACUGACACUGCAGAUACAACCAACAGUAUUUUAAAUAGUGUUCUGGGGGAACACUAAAGAAUUGGACAGUAGUCAUCAUGUUUAAAAGGUAUUUUUCCUCAUCAUCCUGUUGGUGCCAGCACUGUAUCACUCCUCCCCAAAAUACUAAAACCUUAAAUUACCUUUUCAUUCAACCACUGAAACUAAAUGAUGCAGUCUUUUAAAACUUAGCUGCACUAAACCCCCUAUUUUAUUUACAAUGUUGCUUUGUGGUGGUUCCCCACACACAGACUUUAAUGUUUUAAAUGCUUCCUUCAGAACACAGUAGAUUACUUUCUUUUCUGGGACAAAUAUGUAACUCUUAAAACCAAUAAACAAUACAGAUAGUAUUUAGACACGGUUUCUACAUAACAAGCUUUUUUGUACUGAUUUCUCAUUUUUGUACUGGUAAUCUUAUUAUGGAAUUACACUGUAAGAAGAGUUGGCUGUUUAUACAGCUUCAAAAGCAAAAUUAAUUCUGAUUUUCACACCGUGAAAAUGCAGCUUUAUUUUCUGUUCUUUUCUAUCAUGUCACAGGAAGCAACAUUUUAAGAAAAUAUGCCUGGCUUCCAUUUUGUGCAUAUGUAAUUAGAGCCUGAAACAGUGAAUAGCAUACGACACAAUGAAAUUCAAGUUCCGCAUUUGUAACAAUAACCUAUGCUGAAGAUAAUGCAUUCAGGUGAAUGCAUGUAAAAUGUAGAUUUAUCCAUGAUUUAAAAAAAAAAAAAAAAAAAAAGAAUCCUGGAGUAUAAUGAUUGAGCAUAUGCAUACUCCUUGGGGGGAUGUAUUUUCCAAGUUGCUGUAAUGGACAAGGAUAGUAAAAGCUUUUUUCCUACCACAUCUAGAAAGACAACUGAUGUAAAUGAACCUGCACAAAAUAAAUUGUUCUGUACUAGAGAGGGACCCCACCUGGCUUUUAAGAUACUUAGUGUCACAAGUAUCACAAAUACAAUACGUAUUAAGGUGUAUUUACAGACAGUUAUUACAUCACUCUCUAGUAAGUACAGUAACUUGUGCUUUUUAUUUAUAGAGCAUUUGGCCUGAAGGACAAGCAACAUUUGUGCAUUAUCAUCUGUUAACAGCAAAUGUAUUUAUCAGGAAGUGAUAAAGCAAAGAGUAAUGAAUUAGAACUAUGAGGAAUAAAUAACACACAGCAUGGCUUUCAUAUGGAGGAGUGAAAACUGCUUGAAGUGGGAAGUGGACACCCAUCUCUCUGAAGGGCAGAUCCGAAGAAGUAAACCAGGUUCAAAACCAGGUCUCACAGCAGAUACUUAGGCAGCUAGAAACCUGACAACGUUAUGAAGGGAGCUGAACAAAAAUGAUGGACUUGAAGGUAUGUGCCGUGAAAGCCUGCGUGUAUUUGGUUGUGCGAUCCAGAACCCAUCAGCAGACGUCUUCCUCGGCAGCAACAGCGGGAUUUUUGUCUUUGGCAAUCCCUGUCCAUGGUGCUUAACCGCUCACACUGCGCAACUGGGGGUCCGAGUGCAGUGGAGCUGGGGCAGGGGGCUGGAAUGGCAGGGAAUGGAGAGCUGUCCCCUGGUCUGUAAGCCAGGCUGCCAGAGGUUGUAUGGAGCCCUGAGAAUGAAUAUGCUCUUGUCUCAUUUGAUUUUGGAAACAAUUUGAAACCUGUGAAGAGGAGUAAACAAUGGGUAAAGCAAGUAGUCUGGACUUGCAAUCCUCUGGAACCAUCUUCAGCAAGGGCUCACCGCUUAGGUUCUGCAAUACCACAGACCCUUCCUCACCUCUGUUCUUCAGAGGAAAAUAUGACCUAUUGUAUGGACUUCUGCAGGGAUCAAUAUUGAUUGGUCAGUCUGGAGAACAUCUUGCUCCUUUUUAUCAGCAAAACAAUAGUUGGGCUCAAUAGAAAUACUGUGUCUAGAUUUUGACUGUAUACAAACAGAAGGAUGGUGCUUCUCUGGGAAUCUCCAUCAAGUGCAUUUGGAUGAAGCUUAAGAAAGCUAAUGGGCAUUGAUUCUUUGGUUUAGCAAGCUGUGAACAGACACUAUACUAUAGCUUUUCCCUCCUCUGGGUACUGAAAGAACUUCAGCCUGGCCUCCACAUUUCACAAAAUUUGCAGAAACAAGGUAAUCUUUGACAACUCCUUUUUCAAAUCAGAACUAAGUGGAUUCAAAAGGUAUUUUGAAGAGAUAAACAGAUACUCAGAAAAAAAUCAAGCUUAAAAACUGCUCAGCUGGGCAUGCAGCUUAUUGACUGUAUGGUAGGAAUAUAACGACUGGGAAGUGCAAGCCUCUGACAGUCCUUGCUUACAGCAUAGAAAGAAGAAAGUCAAGGCACAAACAAGUACUAUACUGUCAUUUCUGCCAUGUCCUAGAUGCUCCAUUUUCCCACCUCUAAAGCUGGAAAGGUACUACUGACUUUCAUCACCUGUUUAGAAAAAAUUAACCCAGAUACAGAAAUAAAUUACUUUUUAAUUUUCAGAGGCAAAGCACUACAUCUGUCUUGAGACAGAUAAAUUCAGCAGUAUGGGGAUUAAAAAAAAAAAAAAAUUAAAAAAAAAAAUAUCAUGAAAUACUGUAAAGACCAGAUUUCCUUAGAAGAGAUGAAGAUAGUCAUGUUACUUUGGAGUACCUCAGAACCCCAUGAAAACCUGUUUCUACUGUAAAAUAGUAAUAAAAAUACAACAUUGAUUACAUUCAAAAUUUUUCAUUAAGAGCUUUAUUCUUAAAUGCCUCUUGAAGUGUUUUUGACAGUCUCUCCUCCUGUUGGCACCUGCUGAUAUGCUCAACAGCAAAGCUACUUGGAUAUCCCAUGAACUUAUGAAAAAAAUAAAGGCUUCUUUUAACAGGACUCACAAAUUUGUGACUUUCCAUUUUCACAAAGAAACAGACAGUGAAGUGACUGGUGCUUGUAAUUCUGCAUUCACAUGCUCCAGACAUCGAAAGUGCGUAAUAGGCUGAAGAGCAUACUCCUUUUUAGUUGUGCAAGAACUAGAAGCCAUAAGCCAACAUACAGAAACAUCAGUAUAAAUAAAGGAAAACAUCAGAACAGAUCGUCAAACAUCUUUAAAUAAAACAAAAAUCUUACCCUGGGACCCAGCCAGAAGCUUCCGUUAUGUGUGUCUGGGUGACCAUUGUUGGAGCUGGGUUAUAUGGACUCCCAAUCAGAACACUCCCUGAAUUGGCCAGUCUUUGUGAUGUGCUUAUGAUCUAUGAAAAUCAGAAAUAAAAACCACAGAUCUCUUAAGAAAACAGAGGUUACCACAGCGCAAAAUCCAUCCUAAGCAUGGUACUAAGAAAAAAAAUAAUAAUUCUGUACCAGAUGCAAGCUGCAGUCAAAAUAUACAGAACAGAUGUCAUCAGAAGACCUUCAUACAUGAAAGCAAUUACAGUGCUGCUAAGUUUUCUACUAAUUGUACCAUAUUACUGUAUAAUUCAUGUGGACAAGAUCUAGACAAAUAGAAAUAAUUACUAGGUAUGGCAGAUAGACCUGUACCUAUAUACAACUAGUUGUUUGUUUGAGAGUAUGUCUAGACAAUUUCUUGAUCACUGUAAUCAAUCAAUAAAGCCUCCUUUGCAAUG
Aquila chrysaetos chrysaetos is the source of this 6056-nucleotide long non-coding RNA. RefSeq lists it as uncharacterized. Lineage: Eukaryota; Metazoa; Chordata; Aves; Accipitriformes; Accipitridae. The record is from RefSeq and is a predicted model, not a curated record. The transcript is spliced from 3 exons.